This 1542-nucleotide ribosomal RNA is filed under the name Lacimicrobium alkaliphilum. RNAcentral's name for it is "bacterial SSU rRNA". It matches the Rfam family "Bacterial small subunit ribosomal RNA". The record is from RNAcentral. Lineage: Bacteria; Pseudomonadati; Pseudomonadota; Gammaproteobacteria; Alteromonadales; Alteromonadaceae.
UUUAAUUGAAGAGUUUGAUCAUGGCUCAGAUUGAACGCUGGCGGCAGGCCUAACACAUGCAAGUCGAGCGGUAACAUUUCUAGCUUGCUAGAAGAUGACGAGCGGCGGACGGGUGAGUAAUACUUGGGGAUCUGCCUGAUGGCGGGGGACAACCACUGGAAACGGUGGCUAAUACCGCAUAAUGUCUUCGGACCAAAGUAUGGGACCUUCGGGCCAUACACCAUCAGAGGAACCCAAGCGAGAUUAGCUAGUAGGUGAGGUAAAGGCUCACCUAGGCGACGAUCUCUAGCUGUUCUGAGAGGAAGAUCAGCCACACUGGGACUGAGACACGGCCCAGACUCCUACGGGAGGCAGCAGUGGGGAAUAUUGGACAAUGGGGGCAACCCUGAUCCAGCCAUGCCGCGUGUGUGAAGAAGGCCUUCGGGUUGUAAAGCACUUUCAGUGGUGAGGAAGGGGAGUAUGUUAAUAGCGUACUUCAUUGACGUUAGCCACAGAAGAAGCACCGGCUAACUCCGUGCCAGCAGCCGCGGUAAUACGGAGGGUGCGAGCGUUAAUCGGAAUUACUGGGCGUAAAGCGCACGCAGGCGGCUUGUUAAGCCAGAUGUGAAAGCCCCGGGCUCAACCUGGGAGGGUCAUUUGGAACUGGCAAGCUAGAGUCUUGGAGAGGGGAGUGGAAUUCCAGGUGUAGCGGUGAAAUGCGUAGAGAUCUGGAGGAACAUCAGUGGCGAAGGCGGCUCCCUGGCCAAAGACUGACGCUCAUGUGCGAAAGUGUGGGUAGCGAACAGGAUUAGAUACCCUGGUAGUCCACACCGUAAACGCUGUCUACUAGCUGUGUGCGAAUUUAAUUUGUGCGUAGCGAAGCUAACGCGCUAAGUAGACCGCCUGGGGAGUACGGCCGCAAGGUUAAAACUCAAAUGAAUUGACGGGGGCCCGCACAAGCGGUGGAGCAUGUGGUUUAAUUCGAUGCAACGCGAAGAACCUUACCUACUCUUGACAUACUGGGAAUUUAGCAGAGAUGCUUUAGUGCCUUCGGGAAUCCAGAUACAGGUGCUGCAUGGCUGUCGUCAGCUCGUGUCGUGAGAUGUUGGGUUAAGUCCCGCAACGAGCGCAACCCUUGUCCUUAGUUGCCAGCAUUAGGUUGGGCACUCUAAGGAGACUGCCGGUGACAAACCGGAGGAAGGUGGGGACGACGUCAAGUCAUCAUGGCCCUUACGAGUAGGGCUACACACGUGCUACAAUGGUUGGUACAGAGGGAAGCGAGACCGCGAGGUGGAGCGGAUCCCUUAAAGCCAAUCGUAGUCCGGAUCGGAGUCUGCAACUCGACUCCGUGAAGUCGGAAUCGCUAGUAAUCGCAGGUCAGCAUACUGCGGUGAAUACGUUCCCGGGCCUUGUACACACCGCCCGUCACACCAUGGGAGUGGGAUGCAAAAGAAGUGGUUAGCUUAACCUUCGGGAGGGCGAUCACCACUUUGUGUUUCAUGACUGGGGUGAAGUCGUAACAAGGUAACCCUAGGGGAACCUGGGGUUGGAUCACCUCCUUAC